Molecule: long non-coding RNA, 1895 nt
Organism: Xiphophorus hellerii (green swordtail)
Lineage: Eukaryota; Metazoa; Chordata; Actinopteri; Cyprinodontiformes; Poeciliidae
Exons: 3
Source: RefSeq, a predicted model, not a curated record
CUUAACCAAACAUUUUUCUCUGUUGCUGCAGGUUCUGGACCACUUGCAGGAAUCAUUAGUGCUGUAGGUGUCGCUCUGGUGGGAGCCGCGUCCAGUUACUUUGCUUAUCAGAAGAAGAAGCUCUGCUUCAAGCUGCAGGGAGGUGCAGAUCCAGAGAAAGGUCACCAAGGAGGUCAGUCUAAUCCAGGAGACAACCAGAUUUUUAGCAACCUGCUCCGGAACAACUAGAUCCUGAACCAGAACUUGAUCCGACUUUUCAGCCAACAGCCUCAAGACGUCUUUGGUACAGAAAAGAGCCACAAGUUCCACCAACACAUCCAGAACAAAAUGACAGCCAGCUUAUCUUACUCUGAGCUUCAGCAACAGUCAGAAUAUAAUUUUUUGUUGAUGUGUUUUUGACUUUAUGUUACUCUUGUAAACUUCAUUUUUGUCUUUUUCAUGUUUGUAAACCUGUUGGUUUCAUGUAAUGAGUCACUGCAGGAAAUCUGUUUGCUCCAGUAUCUUCCAUAAAAACCUUGUACCCAUCAGGAAAGGACGCUUGUGGCGUUGGCUUCUGUUUACUGUGGAGUAUCUAAUCUCACCUCCCAAAUAAUUCAAAGAUGAGGAAAACAGAAGUAAUCUCAGCCACUGUCCUGGUCAGCCCACAAUGAGUCAGAAUCUUCUAGUUGGCCACUGAGAGAUGUUUUUAGUUUUAUAAGACACUGGUCAUAAGUGUUUUAUGUAGCUGUUUUAUGUUUUAUCAGCAUGGCUCCUUCAGCCAUGCUGAUGGCUGAAGGAGCUUUAAUGUAAACUGAUUGUCGUGUAACCAAGGGCUAAUUGAAAGUGCAAAUAGUAAAUGUACAGAAUUGAAUUUUGUAUUUGUGAGGGACCUUUAGAAAAACACAGAAAGCUGCAACAGAGCUUUGUACUGUUUUACGGAAGCACUUAGCUGCUAAAGCUGGAAUAUAAAUAAAGCUGCAGUAUCUCCUUAAAACAAGAAACUUUCUGGUUAUAAUGAGAAAUAAGUCUUAUUCCUCAAAGUGUUUCAUUGUUGCGACCUUGUAUCUAAAUGGCAAGAAACUUUCUUGUUAUGAUGAGCUGCUUUAUUUCCUAGCUGUAGAAGUUAAUUAUUUCUGAACUGUUUGAAAUUACUAGCCCUAGUUCUAAUGCUGCACUCUGUUUAGCUUAGUUUUUCUUUUCUAAACCGUUUACACUGUUUUCCUGAUGGAUUUUCACACACCAAACUAGACCUGUAGAGUAGCUGCUUGGUUAAGCUGACUAACUAGCUGCUAACAUGUUAAUAGCCAGACUAACUAGCAGCCAGUUAGCUAGUCGCUAACAUCUUUGCUGCACCAAAGACAUAAUGCUAAAGGCCAUUUUUAAAGGAUUGUUUUCUUGUUUUUUAGUUGAAAAAUUAAGUACUGAUACCUAAAAAAUUAUGUUUUUUAUCUCAGAGUUGGAUAUCUGUUUAUUAUGCCUUUGAUAUACAAUAUAAAUGCUUUAGCUUAGUCCUUUUUGGUUCUGCUGAUUCAUAUAAAACAUCACCGCGCGCUGAGGUUCCACUUCUUUGUUGAAUCUUAUCUCUUCUCUUUUCAUUGAGCGGUUGCUGCUGUCUGUGUUUGGCGCCUUUUAAUUUGAUAGACAAGGACGUGUUGUUGCAGGAACGUCUGAAUGAUGAAAUACAAAAACAAGCUGCAUUUCUAUGUGCUGUAAAUAAUCCACUCCUUUAGAUUUGAGUUCUAUGACUUGUUCUGUCAGCUUCUACCAUCAGUUUGAAGUGUGUUUUGUUAUUUUAAGCAUAUGUCUGUUUUAGCUACAUCGACAUUGUGCAGGUCUGUUACUGGAAUACUAAAUGCAUGAUUUGUCAUAGGAUUUUUGGUGUGUACAUGAUUUUAAUAAAGUGUUAUUGUACACUA